This 330-nucleotide small nuclear RNA is filed under the name Chinchilla lanigera (long-tailed chinchilla). RNAcentral describes it as "7SK RNA (ENSCLAG00000021506.1)". The stretch from base 1 to 296 matches the Rfam family "7SK RNA". From Rfam's summary of the family: 7SK was discovered as an abundant small nuclear RNA in the mid-70s but a possible function has only recently been suggested. Two independent studies have found that 7SK RNA binds the CDK9/cyclin T complex (known as elongation factor P-TEFb). The record is from RNAcentral. Lineage: Eukaryota; Metazoa; Chordata; Mammalia; Rodentia; Chinchillidae.
GAAUGUUAAGGUGAUCUGGCUGCAACAUCUGUCACCCCACUGAUCACCACAGUUGAUAUGGCUGAUCUGGCAGGCUAGGCAGCUGUCCCCUUCCUUCCUCAGUGCUCCAUGUGAGUCCCCCUGGGCUGCAGGCUCAGUGGAAGAGGACGACCACCCCUGAUAGAGGAGGACGAUUCCUCAAUCAAGGGUAUAUGAGUAGCUGUGCUCCCUUGGUCGAACUUCCAAACAAGCUCUCAAAACUGGUACUACAGCUCAGUGGUAAAGCUUGUGUUUAGCACGUACAAGAUACCUGGAUUCAAUCCCAGUGUCACAAAAGAGCAAAGUAACUUU